RNAcentral lists this ribosomal RNA (253 nucleotides) under uncultured bacterium. RNAcentral describes it as "partial 16S ribosomal RNA". It matches the Rfam family "Bacterial small subunit ribosomal RNA", at positions 524 to 776 of the family's 1533-position model. The record is from RNAcentral.
UACAGAGGUGGCAAGCGUUGUUCGGAAUUACUGGGCGUAAAGCGCACGUAGGCGGAUUUGUAAGUCAGGGGUGAAAUCCCGGGGCUCAACCCCGGAACUGCCUUUGAUACUGCGAAUCUCGAGUCCGGAAGAGGUGAGUGGAAUUCCUAGUGUAGAGGUGAAAUUCGUAGAUAUUAGGAAGAACACCAGUGGCGAAGGCGGCUCACUGGCCCGAUACUGACGCUGAGGCACGAAAGCGUGGGGAGCAAACAGG